AGAGUUUGAUCAUGGCUCAGAAUCAACGCUGGCGGCGUGCCUAACACAUGCAAGUCGAACGCGAAAGCCCCGCAAGGGGUAAGUAGAGUGGCAAACGGGUGAGUAACACGUGGGUGACCUGCCUUCGAGUGGGGGAUAACGUCCCGAAAGGGACGCUAAUACCGCAUGACAUCCUGCUUUUGGAAAAGCGGAGAUCAAAGCUGGGGAUCGCAAGACCUGGCGCUUGAAGAGGGGCCCGCGCCUGAUUAGCUAGUUGGUAGGGUAACGGCCUACCAAGGCAACGAUCAGUAUCCGGCCUGAGAGGGCGGACGGACACACUGGGACUGAGACACGGCCCAGACUCCUACGGGAGGCAGCAGUGGGGAAUUGUUCGCAAUGGGCGCAAGCCUGACGACGCAACGCCGCGUGGAGGACGAAGAUCUUCGGGUCGUAAACUCCUGUCGAGUGGGAAGAAUGCUUCGGGGGUGAAUAACCUCCGGAAUUGACGGUACCACUAAAGGAAGCCCCGGCUAACUCCGUGCCAGCCGCCGCGGUAAUAC
Molecule: ribosomal RNA, 539 nt
Filed under: uncultured bacterium
Lineage: Bacteria
Description: bacterial SSU rRNA
Rfam family: Bacterial small subunit ribosomal RNA
Source: RNAcentral